AAACAAUUUACAGAAAUUACUAUUAACAAUAAUUACAUUCCAGCUUUUAAACUUACUAUUGAAUAAAAUAAAAAAAAAGCAAAAUGAAUAAUAUAUUUUGUUUAACAAAAUAAUCAUACAAAUUUAUUUUUAUACAUAACAUUUUAUUGAUACUGAUAACAAUUUUAUUUUUUUAUACAUUAUUCUCACUGAAUAAUAACAGUUGAAUAACAUUUCAUAUUGAUCAAAUACAACGUAACUUUCUACGAAACAUCAAACAAAAAUGAGUUUUUUACAUAUACACGACAAAACUGCAGAUAGUAAAUAUGUGAUAUGGUGGAAUGCUGUGCAUUAUGAAUGGAAAGACACCAUGAAAUUGAGGAACAUUAUUAUGUCUAAAGCUAAAUAUGUAUUAUAAUCGUACUUUCUAUGUAAAAAGGUUUCAGAACUUACUUUCAACAUUUUGGUAAUUGAAAAAUAUAUAAAGAUCGUGUAAAAAUAAAAAGAAUCACUUUAAUAAUACGGAAGACAGUCAAACCGCUGCAAGAUAGUACGUCUUAACCCGGCUGGAUUCGCAGACCAACUGCAAAUUAUCGAUGUGAAACUUUGAACCAUGUAUACGCAUAUCUUUAAUAAUGAAUCAAACAAGAAUAAUUCGAUCUGAUAAUAAAAAAAAA
Non-coding RNA from Osmia lignaria (orchard mason bee), 656 nucleotides. The record is from RefSeq and is a predicted model, not a curated record. Lineage: Eukaryota; Metazoa; Arthropoda; Insecta; Hymenoptera; Megachilidae.